AUACGGAGGGUGCAAGCGUUACUCGGAAUCACUGGGCGUAAAGCGCGCGCAGGCGGCUAUUUAAGUUGGAUGUGAAAGCCUACGGCUCAACCGUAGAACUGCAUCCAAAACUAUUUAGCUAGAGUGUGGGAGAGGAAGAUGGAAUUAGUUGUGUAGGGGUAAAAUCCGUAGAGAUAACUAGGAAUACCAAAAGCGAAGGCAAUCUUCUGGAACACUACUGACGCUCAGGCGCGAAAGCGUGGGGAGCAAACAGGAUUAGAAACCCCAGUAGUCC
Molecule: ribosomal RNA, 274 nt
Filed under: uncultured bacterium
Lineage: Bacteria
Description: partial 16S ribosomal RNA
Rfam family: Bacterial small subunit ribosomal RNA
Source: RNAcentral